UACGUAGGGUGCAAGCGUUGUCCGGAAUUAUUGGCGUAAAGAGCUCGUAGGCGGUUUGUUGCGUCGGCUGUAGAAAUCCCGAGGCUCAACCAUCGGGUCUGCAGUCGAUACGAGCAAACUAGGAGUGUUGCAGGGGAGACGUGGAAGUUCCUGGUGAUGAGCGGUGAAUGACGCAGAUAAUCGAGGAGGGAACACCGGUGGCGAAGGCGGGUCAUCGUGGGCAAGCAACGUGACCGGCUGGAGGAGCGAAAGCGUCGGGGAGCGAACAGG
This 270-nucleotide ribosomal RNA is filed under the name uncultured bacterium. RNAcentral describes it as "partial 16S ribosomal RNA". It matches the Rfam family "Bacterial small subunit ribosomal RNA", at positions 524 to 776 of the family's 1533-position model. The record is from RNAcentral.